AAUAAGAAAAUGACGAAUCGGAUUUUUCCUACUGAUUUUCAAUUUUUUUCUCCUAAACAAAUUCAAAUUCAACUAAAAGUGCUAAAAAUUAAGAAAAAAAUCAGAUUUGUCAUUCUCUUAUU
This 122-nucleotide microRNA precursor is filed under the name Gossypium hirsutum (cotton). RNAcentral describes it as "MIR7504 microRNA precursor family". It matches the Rfam family "MIR7504 microRNA precursor family". The record is from Rfam by way of RNAcentral. Lineage: Eukaryota; Viridiplantae; Streptophyta; Magnoliopsida; Malvales; Malvaceae.